Gasterosteus aculeatus aculeatus (three-spined stickleback) is the source of this 1367-nucleotide long non-coding RNA. NCBI's taxonomy places the organism in Eukaryota, Metazoa, Chordata, Actinopteri, Perciformes, Gasterosteidae. The record is from Ensembl.
CCCCUCACAGUGCUCCUCUCCCCCUCCGCCGCCUCCCCUCAUCCUCAGAAUAAAGUUGUUGAGCUCGCGGCGCUCGUCCAUCCCUCUUUUUAAUCAACCUAAUGGAGGCAACAUGUCGUAUUGAUCCUCUGCGCCUCCAGUUCUCACAAUGGAUCGACGUCUGUUCCAAGCAGAGCUGCCUGUCCACGUUCGCCCCCCGUCCCUCCACCACCGCUGUGCGCCCAACCGGUCUUGUGAUGUUUGAAUAUGCACAAAGAGGGAAGAGCGCUCAGCUUCACAAACGUGGCUCCCUGCUUGAGUGACGCGUGACCUCUGAGUGGCUGGGCUCUUGACCCCUGAAGAGACGGCUCACGUCUUCCCUCACAGCUAAUCUGGGGAGUCGGCUGGCGAGGCCGAUUCCAAACUGUAACAAAUCAGACGCUGCCCAGCCGAGUGUCAUAAGAAACAGACAGGUAAUGACAAUUCACUUACCCCCUACGCAAGAAUCAAUUCUCCCACAAUGCACCUGUCACAGAGCCCUCGGUACACUGAAGCCAUUUCUUCCUACUGUCUGACACAAUAAUUGCAUGUUACAUUUUUUUUUUUCUUUUUUUUGAGCUCUGCAUUUUGGGAAAAAUAGUGAUGAAUCAUGUUUACUUAUCAUAAACAUUUUUUUUCAUAUGGGAAACAAAACCACAAUAAGGUAAACAUAAACUAAAUCAUGCACAUUUAAAUGGGGACAUGGACAGGAAAGGAUGCUUCAUUCAACUAAAUGGAUUCCAAUCAAGCAUUCUGUGCUGAGUGUAUUGAAUCAGAAGAAGCGCAGGCUGGCACCAUACCGGUAAUAUCUGGCUGCCUUUAUAGAUCCAACACAGAGGACAAACAUUUCUUAGUGUCAUUUUUGUUUCUCUGUCAGGUGAAAAUAAAAUGGGCAUAAAUAAGUUGCAUCAGGAUCGUCGGAUAAGAUGUCGAGGUUGACAAACGCAGGACUUUCCGCUAGAAGACGCAUGUUCCCGUCGGACUUGGAACCAAAAGUUACGUACGGUAUCGUACAUAACGUAGCGUUCACAGUGUAGGACAUACUAUAAAAAAAUUGAGCCAAACUAACUGUAAGGGAUCGCUCGAGUGUGGAAGUGUGGUACUACAAGGCAUUUAGUCAGCGCCAUCGCUGUAUACCAACAGCAGAACAGAGCAUCAUACUGCUGUGAACUGUUCCAACAUUACAUUACAUUACAUACAGACAUAAAAAAAGACCCAAUGAAAGCAAUUGAUACCCAUUAAUACGUGUACACUAAAUUUGGCAGCAUUUUUGUCUUUGUUAGAGCGUAAAACAGAAGUUAAGAGUGAAGCUUAUUGAUGCUCUCCUCACAGCCACAAGAAACGCGACC